UGAGAAGAACAUAGACAAAGGACCAACACUUUCCUGUUUUAUGGAAUUACUCCCAUUCUUACAUAUAUAUUUGAAAUAUUUCCUAUUUAUAUUUAUAAUUGAUAACUUUAUGGAUAUUUAAGGAAAGGAAGACGAACAGAAGAAUGAAAUGGAGAUGACUGAUGUUCAAACAAGAACAGCAGUAUGGUCCAUGUCUUGGGAAGUUUUAGCCUAAUAUAGCAUAAAAAUGUGCAGCAACAAUGCUUUUCAGCCUCUACUUACUAGUCUUUCCAGGGCAUGGGUGUGAAUCCCCCUUCUUAAACUCCAGAUCAGUUACGCUGACAUUCAGUGUGGUAU
Molecule: long non-coding RNA, 336 nt
Filed under: Pan troglodytes (chimpanzee)
Lineage: Eukaryota; Metazoa; Chordata; Mammalia; Primates; Hominidae
Description: long non-coding RNA NONPTRT006856
Source: RNAcentral